UGCGUAGGCGGAUAAGUAAGUCAGAGGUGAAAUCCUACAGCUUAACUGUAGAACUGCCUUUGAUACUGUUUAUCUUGAAUUAGGUUAAGGUUAGUGGAAUGUGGCAUGUAGCGGUGAAAUGCUUAGAUAUGCCAUAGAACACCAAUUGCGAAGGCAGCUAGCUGGGCCUUAAUUGACGCUGAGGCACGAAAGCGUGGGGAGCGAACAGGAUUAGAUACCCUGGUAGUCC
This 229-nucleotide ribosomal RNA is filed under the name uncultured bacterium. Its description in RNAcentral is "partial 16S ribosomal RNA". It matches the Rfam family "Bacterial small subunit ribosomal RNA", at positions 568 to 796 of the family's 1533-position model. The record is from RNAcentral.